Molecule: ribosomal RNA, 446 nt
Filed under: uncultured bacterium
Lineage: Bacteria
Description: partial 16S ribosomal RNA
Rfam family: Bacterial small subunit ribosomal RNA
Source: RNAcentral
CCUACGGGAGGCAGCAGUCGAGAAUCAUUCACAAUGGGGGAAACCCUGAUGGUGCGACGCCGCGUGGGGGAAUGAAGGUCUUCGGAUUGUAAACCCCUGUCAUGUGGGAGCAAAUUAAAAAGAUAGUACCACAAGAGGAAGAGACGGCUAACUCUGUGCCAGCAGCCGCGGUAAUACAGAGGUCUCAAGCGUUGUUCGGAAUCACUGGGCGUAAGGCGUGCGUAGGCUGUUUCGUAAGUCGUGUGUGAAAGGCGCGGGCUCAACCCGCGGACGGCCCAUGAUACUGCGAGACUAGAGUAAUGGAGGGGGAACCGGAAUUCUCGGUGUAGCAGUGAAAUGCGUAGAUAUCGAGAGGAACACUCGUGGCGAAGGCGGGUUCCUGGACAUUAACUGACGCUGAGGCACGAAGGCCAGGGGAGCGAAAGGGAUUAGAUACCCCAGUAGUC